This 90-nucleotide transfer RNA is filed under the name Collinsella sp. OM07-12. RNAcentral's name for it is "tRNA-Ser". It matches the Rfam family "tRNA". Rfam says of the family: Transfer RNA (tRNA) molecules are approximately 80 nucleotides in length. The record is from RNAcentral. Lineage: Bacteria; Bacillati; Actinomycetota; Coriobacteriia; Coriobacteriales; Coriobacteriaceae.
GGAGAGAUGGCAGAGCGGUUGAAUGCGGCGGUCUUGAAAACCGUUGAGCGCGGGAGCGUUCCGGGGGUUCGAAUCCCCCUCUCUCCGCCA